UGUUUUUGUUGUUGUUGCUCUUUUGUUUUACAAAUUUAUUGCAAUACGUAAAGAGGAAGCGACAAAGUGGAAGUGGAAAUGGAAGUUGAAUAGUCAGCCAACCAAAGGUGUUAGUCACUUUCAAAUUAGCAGAAAAAGACUUCAUAGUAUUCGUUAGCCUCAUUGAUUGCCAGUGUGCGUAAGCUGAUUAGAACGCACUGUAGGCAUUUGAGGCAGACAACAAAACAAUUUGUCACAUGUUGCAAAGAACAUAAAUGAAAUUGAAUUGCGAGCUGCAUUAAGUAUGAAUCUAUAGCUGUGGUUUGAUUGCUGCCUCAGCUCGGUGGAUGAGUCGGUCGUGACGACGCCCCUUGUUUUCCCAAUUAUGCUCAAUUAUUGACACAGUCAUUAGGCAAUUGAUGAAGCGCUGCUCCCUCCUGCAGUUAUACAAUUGAAACUGUGAAAUCUUUAAGCCAGCGGGAGACGCACACGCGCUAAGUCCCCGGGCACCGAUUCUGACUUGGCUGAGGCACUCUCAAGGGUUGCAAUUGCAGUUAAUUAAGUCAAUUCGUAUUGUCUGAAUUGAAAACUCUAAGCUGAGUAUCCACAUACAACUCAAUCAGUUGCUGCAUUCUUUAAAUUUGCUCUGCGCGACAGCUAAAGUAUGUGUACUAUAAAAGACGUUCACUUAUCUUAUCAUUAAACGCGCGCUCUAAUCGUACGUAUAGUUCGCUUUGUUGGCUCUCAAUCACUCUCCUCCGUACACCCGAUAAAGAAGUCAAGCAUAACAAUAAAGUUGAUAAGUUUUUGCCUGGUGUACAUAAAUAA
Drosophila virilis is the source of this 807-nucleotide non-coding RNA. The record is from RefSeq and is a predicted model, not a curated record. Lineage: Eukaryota; Metazoa; Arthropoda; Insecta; Diptera; Drosophilidae.